Molecule: long non-coding RNA, 1853 nt
Organism: Daucus carota subsp. sativus
Lineage: Eukaryota; Viridiplantae; Streptophyta; Magnoliopsida; Apiales; Apiaceae
Exons: 5
Source: RefSeq, a predicted model, not a curated record
GUCAGAUGAAAAAUCGAAGUUACAUCAGUUGUUGAGGAUUCAGGUUGGUGCUAUGCAAAGUGCACAAAAUGCCCUAAAGAAAUUGCCCGUGAAAACGGUGUCUACAAAUGUGGUGACUGUCAAAGAAUAAUCCCUUAUCCAGACAAACGGUUCGGGCUAUGCACACUAUGUUCUGAUUGCACCGGUUCCGUGGCCAUCAUUUUCCCGGAUGAAGAAAUUAGCCGGAUUAUUGAUAAAACUGUCUUUGACAUUGAAGCAAAAGCUAUAAAGGAAAAAACACAGGAUAAAUUCCCCACAAUCCUUAAGCAAUUUGAGAACAAGAAAUACACUAUUACUCUAGCAAUUAACAAAACAAAUCUGGAAGAGGGUUCAAAUGUGUAUGAUGCUUGCGAAAUUAUGGAUAAGAUUGAAGCGGGAGCCAAUCACGAUCCUUCUCGAGAAUCGAAUGUGUCCAUGGAUUAUCAGUCUACUGUCAAUAUCAAAAGUGACAAUGAGGAUACGCUUCAUACUGGAGUUUCGUCCAACAAAACAAAAAGCCGUGAGGAACUACAACCGAUUGCUUAUGAUGACCAGACUGCUGUGCCAAACAAAAGAGCACGUAAGGUGCCUCGCAAAUAUGAAUGAACCUGAAUCUCACCUCCACCAACCCUUUUGACAAUGAAAAAGUUGAUGCUUCUGGCAGCUUGGAAAAACAUUAUUAAUCCAUCUUCUGUAAUAUUAUUUUGGUUUAACAUGUUACUUAUCUGCAUGUAUGCGACAGACAUUUCUUAUUUUUCUUUAACAUGUUAGUUAUCUGCUUUUAACAACUAUUAUAUCUAUGUUUAAAUAUUGCUUUAAAUUUUAGCAGAUGUAUUAAAUGGAGUUGUUCAGUUGUACUUAUUAUCUCAGCUACAAAUGAUGCAACUAUUAGACAUAAGCCACACACACCAGCCAACAUUACACCAGACCAAUUUUUCUUUCUACUCCAUUUACAAACUAUGUCAAACAAAUAUCAAGAACUCUCAAACUUGAAAUAUGGCACUUACGAUUACAAAAUCAAAGUUCGUCUAAUCCGCUUAUGGAGAGGAAUGACAAAUACAGGGGAAGAUUUUAAAGGUUUCAACAUUAUGCUGCUAGACUCCAAGGUCAGGAAAAAUUUAUUCAUUGAAAUAUCUGCACAUUUAAUUAACUAAUUUUUCUUUUCUUUCAUUAAUUUCAGGGCAAUGCGAUGCAUGCUUACAUACCAGCAAAAUGUUCUUAUGAUAUGGAGAGAAAGUUGCGAGUUGGAACGGUUUACAUCAUCAGGAACUUUACAGUACAAGCAUACAAGGACAAAGACAAGUUCAGAUGCCUCAGAAAUGAGAUGCAAAUGAUUUUCACACAGGAAACCACAGUUCACCAGGUGGAAGAGAAAGGGAAUAAUAUUGCGCACGAGGCUUUUGAUUUCUAUGAUCACAGUGAACUGAUGCCACUAACAAACCAAACAACUUUUUUGGCAGGUUAAAUCUUGCAUUCAUCUCAGAUUCAUGUCUUCUUUAUUAACAAUUAGCACCUUUAUGCUAUUACAAUGUACACAGAUGUCAUUGGUAUCAUAAGAGACCGAGAGAUAGUCCUGGAAAAACUAACAAACAGACAUGGUCAGCAGCAAGAACAGGCCAAGUUCAUCAUCACUGAUGGAAGGUUAAUUAUUUCUUUUUCAUUGCUUCAAGAUCUGUUCUUUAUUUGACUUUGUCUUCUACUGUUUUAUGAAGCUCGAAUAUACGCGUUACGUUUUGGGACAAAUUUGCAAGAUUAUUUGUAAAGGCCAUCUGGGAGGAACUAGAGAGUCCAGUGAUCAUCAUUAUUGCAAACUCGAGACCAAUGAUAUAUAACGG